CGAUUGAAUGGCUCAGUGAGGCUCCGGACUGGCCCAGAGAGGUGGGCAACUACCACUCAGGGCCGGAAAGUUGUCCAAACUCGGUCAUUUAGAGGAAGUAAAAGUCGUAACAAGGUCUCCGUUGGUGAACCAGCGGAGGGAUCAUUA
This 147-nucleotide ribosomal RNA is filed under the name Scedosporium boydii. RNAcentral's name for it is "partial 18S ribosomal RNA". It matches the Rfam family "Eukaryotic small subunit ribosomal RNA", at positions 1686 to 1831 of the family's 1831-position model. The record is from RNAcentral. Lineage: Eukaryota; Fungi; Ascomycota; Sordariomycetes; Microascales; Microascaceae.